AGUCGAACGGCAGCAUAGGUGCUUGCACCUGAUGGCGAGUGGCGAACGGGUGAGUAAUGCAUCGGAACGUGCCCAACUGUGGGGGAUAGCUCGGCGAAAGCCGGAUUAAUACCGCAUACGAUCCACGGAUGAAAGCGGGGGACCUUCGGGCCUCGCGCGAUUGGAGCGCCCGAUGUUAGAUUAGGUAGUUGGUGGGGUAAAGGCUCACCAAGCCAACGAUCUAUAGCUGGUCUGAGAGGACGACCAGCCACACUGGAACUGAGACACGGUCCAGACUCCUACGGGAGGCAGCAGUGGGGAAUUUUGGACAAUGGGCGAAAGCCUGAUCCAGCAAUACCGCGUGCAGGAAGAAGGCCCUCGGGUUGUAAACUGCUUUUGUACGGAACGAAACGGCGUGCUCUAAUAAAGUGCGCUAAUGACGGUACCGUAAGAAUAAGCACCGGCUAACUACGUGCCAGCAGCCGCGGUAAUACGUAGGGUGCGAGCGUUAAUCGGAAUUACUGGGCGUAAAGCGUGCGCAGGCGGUUUUGUAAGACAGGCGUGAAAUCCCCGGGCUCAACCUGGGAAUUGCGCUUGUGACUGCAAGGCUAGAGUACGGUAGAGGGGGGUAGAAUUCCGCGUGUAGCAGUGAAAUGCGUAGAUAUGCGGAGGAACACCGAUGGCGAANGCAGCCCCCUGGACCUGUACUGACGCUCAUGCACGAAAGCGUGGGGAGCAAACAGGAUUAGAUACCCUGGUAGA
RNAcentral lists this ribosomal RNA (741 nucleotides) under uncultured Comamonadaceae bacterium. Its description in RNAcentral is "bacterial SSU rRNA". It matches the Rfam family "Bacterial small subunit ribosomal RNA", at positions 60 to 794 of the family's 1533-position model. Lineage: Bacteria; Pseudomonadati; Pseudomonadota; Betaproteobacteria; Burkholderiales; Comamonadaceae. The record is from RNAcentral.